Molecule: ribosomal RNA, 506 nt
Filed under: uncultured bacterium
Lineage: Bacteria
Description: partial 16S ribosomal RNA
Rfam family: Bacterial small subunit ribosomal RNA
Source: RNAcentral
AGUGAACGCUGGCGGUAGGCCUAACACAUGCAAGUCGAACGGCAGCACAGGAGAGCUUGCUCUCUGGGUGGCGAGUGGCGGACGGGUGAGGAAUACAUCGGAAUCUACUCUGUCGUGGGGGAUAACGUAGGGAAACUUACGCUAAUACCGCAUACGACCUACGGGUGAAAGCAGGGGACCUUCGGGCCUUGCGCGAUUGAAUGAGCCGAUGUCGGAUUAGCUAGUUGGCGGGGUAAGGGCCCACCAAGGCGACGAUCCGUAGCUGGUCUGAGAGGAUGAGCAGCCACACUGGAACUGAGACACGGUCCAGACUCCUACGGGAGGCAGCAGUGGGGAAUAUUGGACAAUGGGCGCAAGCCUGAUCCAGCCAUACCGCGUGGGUGAAGAAGGCCUUCGGGUUGUAAAGCCCUUUUGUUGGGAAGGAAAUCCAGCUGGCUAAUACCCGGUUGGGAUGACGGUACCCAAAGAAUAAGCACCGGCUAACUUCGUGCCAGCCGCCGCAGUAA